AACGAACGCUGGCGGCAUGCCUAACACAUGCAAGUCGAACGAAGUCUUCGGACUUAGUGGCGCACGGGUGAGUAACGCGUGGGAAACUGCCCAUUGGUGGGGAAUAACUGAGGGAAACUUCAGCUAAUACCGCAUAAGCCCUUCGGGGGAAAGAUUUAUCGCCGAUGGAUGUGCCCGCGUCUGAUUAGCUAGUUGGUGAGGUAAUGGCUCACCAAGGCGACGAUCAGUAGCUGGUCUGAGAGGAUGAUCAGCCACACUGGGACUGAGACACGGCCCA
Molecule: ribosomal RNA, 277 nt
Filed under: uncultured bacterium
Lineage: Bacteria
Description: partial 16S ribosomal RNA
Rfam family: Bacterial small subunit ribosomal RNA
Source: RNAcentral